This 215-nucleotide long non-coding RNA is filed under the name Musa acuminata (dwarf banana). RNAcentral's name for it is "long non-coding RNA (MACU_LNC008999)". The record is from RNAcentral. Lineage: Eukaryota; Viridiplantae; Streptophyta; Magnoliopsida; Zingiberales; Musaceae.
GUGAUUACUUGGGGAGGUUUUAGAUAUUGUGGGAAGUAACGUGAUCCUUGUAUCCCAGUUAUUCUCUUGUGGUUGUUCCUAGGGUUUAGGGCAAGAGAUUGAGAUUUGUAUAUUCAUUAUUCUCAUAGUGGAUUAUCUCUAGUUUGCCCCGUGGUUUUUACCCUUCACAUUGAAGGGGUUUUCCACGUAUAUCUUGGUGUUCUAUUUGAUUGUGC